RNAcentral lists this ribosomal RNA (505 nucleotides) under uncultured Glomeraceae. RNAcentral's name for it is "SSU rRNA". It matches the Rfam family "Eukaryotic small subunit ribosomal RNA", at positions 569 to 1078 of the family's 1831-position model. The record is from RNAcentral. Lineage: Eukaryota; Fungi; Glomeromycota; Glomeromycetes; Glomerales; Glomeraceae.
AGCAGCCGCGGUAAUUCCAGCUCCAAUAGCGUAUAUUAAAGUUGUUGCAGUUAAAAAGCUCGUAGUUGAAUUUCGGGGUCAGUAGGCUGGUCGUGCCACAGGUACGUACUGGUCUCACUGAUUCCUCCUUCCUGAUGAACCGUAAUGCCAUUAAUUUGGUGUUGCGGGGAAACUGGACUGUUACUUUGAAAAAUUGGAGUGUUUAAAGCAGGCUAACGCUUGAAUACAUUAGCAUGGAAUAAUGAAAUAGGACGUUCGAUCCUAUUUUGUUGGUUUCUAGGAUUGACGUAAUGAUUAAUAGGGAUAGUUGGGGGCAUUAGUAUUCAAUUGUCAGAGGUGAAAUUCUUGGAUUUGUUGAAGACUAACUACUGCGAAAGCAUUUGCCAAGGAUGUUUUCAUUAAUCAAGAACGAAAGUUAGGGGAUCGAAGACGAUCAGAUACCGUCGUAGUCUUAACCAUAAACUAUGCCGACUAGGGAUCGGAUGAUGUAAUUUUUAAUGACUCA